RNAcentral lists this long non-coding RNA (262 nucleotides) under Vitis vinifera (wine grape). RNAcentral's name for it is "long non-coding RNA (VVIN_LNC005335)". Lineage: Eukaryota; Viridiplantae; Streptophyta; Magnoliopsida; Vitales; Vitaceae. The record is from RNAcentral.
UGGGCAGUGAGCAUGAAGGGUAGUUUAGGUUAAGAGAAGUGGGUAACGGUGUGGGCCUGAGGGGUAUAAAAUGAAUAUGAAAGAGGCGAGCAAUGGGUAUGAGGGUAUGAGGGAAAUGAAGACACGUGGUGUGGCUAAAAGGGGUGAAUAUCAGCGUGGACAUGAGGGGUAUGACAUGGAUGUGGAAAGGUGGGUGUGAUGAUAGAUGGGUAUGGAAUUGACGGAUAUGCAUGGAUGACCCUGCAUGAAUGAGGACAAAUGG